This 153-nucleotide small RNA is filed under the name Arabidopsis thaliana (thale cress). RNAcentral describes it as "ATSL183590". Lineage: Eukaryota; Viridiplantae; Streptophyta; Magnoliopsida; Brassicales; Brassicaceae. The record is from RNAcentral.
AAAAAAUUUGUUACAUGAAAAUAUAUACAAGAAGCCGCUAAUUCGGAGAGUCUCUUCCCGAUAACUUAAUAUAAAUGGUGUUUGAAGGAAAAAAAAAAGAAGCCGCUAAUUUCAUUUGAAGUUUGAAACAACAACCAAUGACGAUAUUUAUGA